Molecule: long non-coding RNA, 1090 nt
Filed under: Homo sapiens (human)
Lineage: Eukaryota; Metazoa; Chordata; Mammalia; Primates; Hominidae
Description: HSALNT0348990
Source: RNAcentral
AGAAGGAAGGGGCUAUGCCUGGCUUAAAUGGUGCUGAGAUGCCAAGAUGGAGAUUUAAGAAUUUCCUCAAAUUUAAUGACAUUCAGAUAUUAGUGAUUUUAUCUAGAACUAUUUCAUGGAGCUCUGGUGGCAGAAACCAGACUGUGGUAGGUUCAAAUGAGAGGGAAAAACAAGCACAUGGAAUCAGCUGUAGUAAACAACCAUUGUUGAUAAAUAAACAUAUAAAAUAUUUAUUGUCAAAUAAAUAUGUAAAAUAAAUUUUCUUGGUAAAUUAAUAUAUAAAGUACUUCUUUAAAACUCUCUGGUAAUUGAUUAAAAUUAUUCAUUAUCAUUUACCUCUUAUUUUUGCCUAAGAAUUUUCCAGACUUCUGAAUUUAGGGGUAUGCUUCCAGAGAAAUUUGUAUUCCUGUAUUAAACUACUCUGAAUCUACUAUCCAUUAGCUUUAUUAAAUUGUUUUAGUUUUUCUUCAGGUUUUCCAUAGUAUUAUUUCUUUUAUUGCUUGUUUGUUUUGAGAUGGAGUCUUGCUCUGUUGCCCAGGCUGGAGUGCAGUGGCAUGAUCUCGGCUCACUGCAACCUCUGCCUCCUGGGUUCAAGCGAUUCUCCUGCCUCAGCCUCCUGAAUGGCGGGGACUACAGGCUCACACCACCAUGCCUGGCUACUUUUUUGUAUUUUUAUCAGAGACCGGGUUUCACCGUGUUAGCCAGGACAGUGAUCCACCCGCCUGGGCCUCCCAAAGUGCUGGGAUUACAGACGUGAGCCACUGCGCCUGGCCGUGUUAUUUCUUUUAAAUUUCAUCAUUUCAACCUUUGUCUCUCAAUAACUUUGGUUUAUCAAAUAGCUUAUGAUUUUUGUGAGGUUUAUCAUUUGUAAUGUGCUUGAUAUAUUACAUUUGCUAACAAUAAAUUAUAUAAUAUACAUUUGUACUAUGCAUUUGAUAUGUUAGAGGUAUGCUUGCUUUUUCAGUAGCCAAACAGAUAACAGCCAGUAUGUUGUUAUUGUAUUUUUGUUGUUGUUUUAACCUCAGUAGCACAUUUGGACCUUGGGUGUUAUUAUAUCUUUGUCUUUAUAAUAAACUCAUGCACUUGUUUC